UUCAGGUUCUCCUAUUGGUGCACCUAACUGACCUCUUGCCAUGUGGCAAUAUAAAAAAUGAUCUGUAUUGUACCGAUCUACAAGCGAAGCAUCAUUUCAGAUUAGAUCGGGUGAAUACCAACCUCAUAUCAAUGAACAGUUGAUCUGACUACAUCUACAUGCAGUUGACAUUAGAAGGAUAUACCGACCUUCUGCAGGCAUCAAUAAAAUCCC
This 213-nucleotide long non-coding RNA is filed under the name Elaeis guineensis (African oil palm). RNAcentral's name for it is "long non-coding RNA (EGUI_LNC031421)". Lineage: Eukaryota; Viridiplantae; Streptophyta; Magnoliopsida; Arecales; Arecaceae. The record is from RNAcentral.